RNAcentral lists this ribosomal RNA (430 nucleotides) under uncultured bacterium. Its description in RNAcentral is "bacterial SSU rRNA". It matches the Rfam family "Bacterial small subunit ribosomal RNA", at positions 28 to 453 of the family's 1533-position model. The record is from RNAcentral.
GAUGAACGCUAGCGGCAGGCUUAAUACAUGCAAGUCGAGGGGCAGCAGGGUGUAGCAAUACAUCGCUGGCGACCGGCAAACGGGUGCGGAACACGUACGCAACCUUCCUUCAAGUGGGGAAUAGCCCAGGGAAACUUGGAUUAAUACCUCGUAACAUUAUGAGAUGGCAUCAUUUUAUAAUUAUAGUUCCGACGCUUGAAGAUGGGCGUGCGCCUGAUUAGGAGUUGGCGGGGUAACGGCCCACCAAGCCUUCGAUCAGUAACUGGUGUGAGAGCACGACCAGUCACACGGGCACUGAGACACGGGCCCGACUCCUACGGGAGGCAGCAGUAAGGAAUAUUGGACAAUGGGGGCAACCCUGAUCCAGCCAUGCCGCGUGAAGGAUGAAGGCGCUCUGCGUCGUAAACUUCUUUUACUCGAGAAAAUUGUU